GCUACGGGGGGCAGUAGUGAGGAAUAUUGGUCAAUGGACGCAAGUCUGAACCAGCCAAGUAGCGUGCAGGAUGACGGCCCUCCGGGUUGUAAACUGCUUUUAGUUGGGAAUAAAAGGGGGCUCGUGAGCCCCGUAUUGUAUGUACCAUCAGAAAAAGGACCGGCUAAUUCCGUGCCAGCAGCAGCGGUAAUACGGAAGGUACGGGCGUUAUCCGGGUUUAUUGGGGUUAAAGGGAGCUAAUGCCGGCUUUUAAGUCAGCUGUGAAAGGCCGCGGCCCAACCGUGGAAUUGCAGUUGGAACGGGAGGCCUUGAGUGCACACAGGGAUGCCGGAAUUCAUGGUGUAGCGGUGAAAUGCUUAGAUAUCAUGAAGAACUCCGAUCGCGAAGGCAAGUGUCCGGGGUGCAACUGACGCUGAGGCUCGAAAGUGCGGGUAUCAAACAGGAUUAGAUACCCCGGUAGUC
Molecule: ribosomal RNA, 462 nt
Filed under: uncultured bacterium
Lineage: Bacteria
Description: partial 16S ribosomal RNA
Rfam family: Bacterial small subunit ribosomal RNA
Source: RNAcentral